This 741-nucleotide ribosomal RNA is filed under the name Salmonella enterica subsp. enterica serovar Kentucky. RNAcentral describes it as "bacterial SSU rRNA". It matches the Rfam family "Bacterial small subunit ribosomal RNA", at positions 1 to 729 of the family's 1533-position model. Lineage: Bacteria; Pseudomonadati; Pseudomonadota; Gammaproteobacteria; Enterobacterales; Enterobacteriaceae. The record is from RNAcentral.
ACUUAAAUUGAAGAGUUUGAUCAUGGCUCAGAUUGAACGCUGGCGGCAGGCCUAACACAUGCAAGUCGAACGGUAGCACAGAGAGCUUGCUCUCGGGUGACGAGUGGCGGACGGGUGAGUAAUGUCUGGGAAACUGCCUGAUGGAGGGGGAUAACUACUGGAAACGGUGGCUAAUACCGCAUAACGUCGCAAGACCAAAGAGGGGGACCUUCGGGCCUCUUGCCAUCAGAUGUGCCCAGAUGGGAUUAGCUUGUUGGUGAGGUAACGGCUCACCAAGGCGACGAUCCCUAGCUGGUCUGAGAGGAUGACCAGCCACACUGGAACUGAGACACGGUCCAGACUCCUACGGGAGGCAGCAGUGGGGAAUAUUGCACAAUGGGCGCAAGCCUGAUGCAGCCAUGCCGCGUGUAUGAAGAAGGCCUUCGGGUUGUAAAGUACUUUCAGCGAGGAGGAAGGCGUUGUGGUUAAUAACCACAGCGAUUGACGUUACUCGCAGAAGAAGCACCGGCUAACUCCGUGCCAGCAGCCGCGGUAAUACGGAGGGUGCAAGCGUUAAUCGGAAUUACUGGGCGUAAAGCGCACGCAGGCGGUUUGUUAAGUCAGAUGUGAAAUCCCCGGGCUCAACCUGGGAACUGCAUUUGAAACUGGCAAGCUUGAGUCUCGUAGAGGGGGGUAGAAUUCCAGGUGUAGCGGUGAAAUGCGUAGAGAUCUGGAGGAAUACCGGUGGCGAAGGCGGCCCCC